RNAcentral lists this ribosomal RNA (434 nucleotides) under uncultured bacterium. RNAcentral's name for it is "partial 16S ribosomal RNA". It matches the Rfam family "Bacterial small subunit ribosomal RNA", at positions 29 to 507 of the family's 1533-position model. The record is from RNAcentral.
AGCGAACGCUGGCGGCAGGCCUAACACAUGCAAGUCGAACGAACCUUUCGGGGUUAGUGGCGGACGGGUGAGUAACACGUGGGAACGUGCCUUUAGGUUCGGAAUAACUCAGGGAAACUUGUGCUAAUACCGAAUGUGCCCUUCGGGGGAAAGAUUAAUCGCCGUUAGAGCGGCCCGCGUCUGAUUAGCUAGUUGGUUGAGGUAAUGGCUCACCAAGGCGACGAUCAGUAGCUGGUCUGAGAGGAUGAUCAGCCACAUUGGGACUGAGACACGGCCCAAACUCCUACGGGAGGCAGCAGUGGGGAAUCUUGCGAAAUGGGCGAAAGCCUGACGCAGCCAUGCCGCGUGAAUGAUGAAGGUCUUAGGAUUGUAAAAUUCUUUCACCGGGGACGAUAAUGACGGUACCCGGAGAAGAAGCCCCGGCUAACUUCGUG